UGAGGAAUUUUGGACAAUGGGGGAAACCCUGAUCCAGCGACGCCGCGUGGAGGACGAAGGUCUUCGGAUUGUAAACUCCUUUUCUUCGGGAAUAAUAGAUCUGUAGAAAUACAGGAAUUGAAUGUACCGGAGGAAUAAGCCACGGCUAACUUCGUGCCAGCAGCCGCGGUAAUACGAAGGUGGCAAGCGUUACUCGGAAUUACUAGGCGUAAAGCGCAGGUAGGUGGUUGUGUAAGUCUGCUGUGAAAGCUCCCGGCUCAACUGGGAGAGGUCAGCGGAUACUGCAUAGCUAGAGUGUGGGAGAGGGUACUGGAAUUCCCGGUGUAGCGGUGAAAUGCGCAGAGAUCGGGAGGAACACCUAAGGCGAAAGCAGGUACCUGGACCAUUACUGACACUAAGCUGCGAAAGCUAGGGGAGCAAACAGG
Molecule: ribosomal RNA, 425 nt
Filed under: uncultured Elusimicrobia bacterium
Lineage: Bacteria; Pseudomonadati; Elusimicrobiota; Elusimicrobia
Description: bacterial SSU rRNA
Rfam family: Bacterial small subunit ribosomal RNA
Source: RNAcentral